RNAcentral lists this transfer RNA (93 nucleotides) under Achromobacter anxifer. RNAcentral describes it as "tRNA-Ser". It matches the Rfam family "tRNA". From Rfam's summary of the family: Transfer RNA (tRNA) molecules are approximately 80 nucleotides in length. Their secondary structure includes four short double-helical elements and three loops (D, anti-codon, and T loops). Further hydrogen bonds mediate the characteristic L-shaped molecular structure. tRNAs have two regions of fundamental functional importance: the anti-codon, which is responsible for specific mRNA codon recognition, and the 3' end, to which the tRNAs corresponding amino acid is attached (by aminoacyl-tRNA synthetases). tRNAs cope with the degeneracy of the genetic code in two manners: having more than one tRNA (with a specific anti-codon) for a particular amino acid; and 'wobble' base-pairing, i.e. permitting non-standard base-pairing at the 3rd anti-codon position. The record is from RNAcentral. Lineage: Bacteria; Pseudomonadati; Pseudomonadota; Betaproteobacteria; Burkholderiales; Alcaligenaceae.
GGAGGGGUGCCAGAGAGGCCUAUCGGCACUGCUUGGAAAGCAGCUGGGUUGUGAUGAGCAGCCACCAGGGUUCGAAUCCCUGUCCCUCCGCCA